RNAcentral lists this ribosomal RNA (1012 nucleotides) under Talaromyces palmae. RNAcentral's name for it is "SSU rRNA". It matches the Rfam family "Eukaryotic small subunit ribosomal RNA", at positions 85 to 1106 of the family's 1831-position model. Lineage: Eukaryota; Fungi; Ascomycota; Eurotiomycetes; Eurotiales; Trichocomaceae. The record is from RNAcentral.
AACUGCGAAUGGCUCAUUAAAUCAGUUAUCGUUUAUUUGAUAGUACCCUACUACAUGGAUACCUGUGGUAAUUCUAGAGCUAAUACAUGCCUAAAACCCCGACUUCGGAAGGGGUGUAUUUAUUAGAUAAAAAACCAAUGCCCUUCGGGGCUCCUUGGUGAUUCAUAAUAACUUAACGAAUCGCAUGGCCUUGCGCCGGCGAUGGUUCAUUCAAAUUUCUGCCCUAUCAACUUUCGAUGGUAGGAUAGUGGCCUACCAUGGUGGCAACGGGUAACGGGGAAUUAGGGUUCGAUUCCGGAGAGGGAGCCUGAGAAACGGCUACCACAUCCAAGGAAGGCAGCAGGCGCGCAAAUUACCCAAUCCCGAUUCGGGGAGGUAGUGACAAUAAAUACUGAUACAGGGCUCUUUUGGGUCUUGUAAUUGGAAUGAGAACAAUUUAAAUCCCUUAACGAAAACAAUUGGAGGGCAAGUCUGGUGCCAGCAGCCGCGGUAAUUCCAGCUCCAAUAGCGUAUAUUAAAGUUGUUGCAGUUAAAAAGCUCGUAGUUGAACCUUGGGCCUGUCCUGCCGGUCCGCCUCACCGCGAGUACUGGUCCGGAUGGGCCUUUCUUUCUGGGGAAUCCCAUGGCCUUCACUGGCUGUGGCGGGGAACCAGGACUUUUACUGUGAAAAAAUUAGAGUGUUCAAAGCAGGCCUUUGCUCGGAUACAUUAGCAUGGAAUAAUAGAAUAGGACGUGCGGUUCUAUUUUGUUGGUUUCUAGGACCGCCGUAAUGAUUAAUAGGGAUAGUCGGGGGCGUCAGUAUUCAGCUGUCAGAGGUGAAAUUCUUGGAUUUGCUGAAGACUAACUACUGCGAAAGCAUUCGCCAAGGAUGUUUUCAUUAAUCAGGGAACGAAAGUUAGGGGAUCGAAGACGAUCAGAUACCGUCGUAGUCUUAACCAUAAACUAUGCCGACUAGGGAUCGGGCGGCGUUUCUAUGAUGACCCGCUCGGCACCUUACGAGAAAUCAAAGUUU